GUUAUUAUCCCCAUAUUUAAAAUGGAGGAAGGCCAGAGAGGUAGUGGCUUGUCCUAGGACACCCAGCUAGUGAAGGCCACCAGAGCCAGGAGCCUGAUUCUAAGUCAAGAGAAUUUCUACCACCCCAUACUGGCAGCCGAAGGAGGCAGGCAGGGCAGCAAACAGGCAAUUUCCUUCCUUCUCUCCCUGGAAAGAUGACAGCCGCGAUGCCAGUCCUCCCGAGCCCGCCAGCCCCACCAUCGGCCUGGAUAAGAAGACUCGCCGAAAGUUCCUGGACCUGGGGGUCACCCUGCGCCGAGCAUCCACGGGCAAGAGCCGGAAGGAGAAAGGCAGCAACCGCCUGUCCAUGGGCAGCAGGGAGUCAGUGGAGGGGUCCGGCAGGUCAGGGGGCUCCCCGUUCCUGCCUUUUUCCUGGUUCACAGACAGCGGCAAGGGCUCAGCAUCCUCGGGUAGCACCACCUCCCCUACCUGCUCCCCUAAACACGAGGGCUUCAGCCCUAAGAAGUCAGCUUCCCAGGAAUCCACUCUGAGUGAUGACUCCACGCCCCCCAGCAGCAGCCCCAAGAUCCCCAGUGGGCCCCGGCAGGAGGCCAAAU
RNAcentral lists this small RNA (596 nucleotides) under Pongo abelii (Sumatran orangutan). RNAcentral's name for it is "retained intron". Lineage: Eukaryota; Metazoa; Chordata; Mammalia; Primates; Hominidae. The record is from RNAcentral.